AGUGAACGCUGGCGGUAGGCCUAACACAUGCGAGUCGAACGGCAGCACAGUAAGAGCUUGCUCUUACGGGUGGCGAGUGGCGGACGGGUGAGGAAUACAUCGGAAUCUACUUUUUCGUGGGGGAUAACGUAGGGAAACUUACGCUAAUACCGCAUAUGACCUACGGGUGAAAGCAGGGGAUCUUCGCACCUUGCGCGAUUGAAUGAGCCGAUGUCGGAUUAGCUAGUUGGCGGGGUAAAGGCCCACCAAGGCGACGAUCCGUAGCUGGUCUGAGAGGAUGAUCAGCCACACUGGAACUGAGACACGGUCCAGACUCCUACGGGAGGCAGCAGUGGGGAAUAUUGGACAAUGGGCGCAAGCCUGAUCCAGCCAUACCGCGUGGGUGAAGAAGGCCUUCGGGUUGUAAAGCCCUUUUGUUGGGAAAGAAAAGCAGCAGGUUAAUACCCCGCUGUUCUGACGGUACCCAAAGAAUAAGCACCGGCUAACUUCGUG
RNAcentral lists this ribosomal RNA (492 nucleotides) under uncultured bacterium. Its description in RNAcentral is "partial 16S ribosomal RNA". It matches the Rfam family "Bacterial small subunit ribosomal RNA", at positions 29 to 507 of the family's 1533-position model. The record is from RNAcentral.